RNAcentral lists this ribosomal RNA (877 nucleotides) under uncultured soil bacterium. RNAcentral's name for it is "bacterial SSU rRNA". It matches the Rfam family "Bacterial small subunit ribosomal RNA", at positions 18 to 873 of the family's 1533-position model. The record is from RNAcentral.
CAUGGCUCAGAUUGAACGCUGGCGGCAUGCUUUACACAUGCAAGUCGAACGGCAGCGCGGGACAACCUGGCGGCGAGUGGCGAACGGGUGAGUAAUAUAUCGGAACGUACCCAGAAGUGGGGGAUAACGUAGCGAAAGUUACGCUAAUACCGCAUACGAUCUACGGAUGAAAGUGGGGGACCUUCGGGCCUCAUGCUUGUGGAGCGGCCGAUAUCUGAUUAGCUAGUUGGUAGGGUAAAGGCCUACCAAGGCGACGAUCAGUAGCUGGUCUGAGAGGACGACCAGCCACACUGGGACUGAGACACGGCCCAGACUCCUACGGGAGGCAGCAGUGGGGAAUUUUGGACAAUGGGCGCAAGCCUGAUCCAACAAUGCCGCGUGAGUGAAGAAGGCCUUCGGGUUGUAAAGCUCUUUUGUCAGGGAAGAAACGGCCAGAGCUAAUAUCUUUGGCUAAUGACGGUACCUGAAGAAUAAGCACCGGCUAACUACGUGCCAGCAGCCGCGGUAAUACGUAGGGUGCAAGCGUUAAUCGGAAUUACUGGGCGUAAAGCGUGCGCAGGCGGUUUUGUAAGUCUGACGUGAAAUCCCCGGGCUCAACCUGGGAAUUGCGUUGGAGACUGCAAGGCUGGAGUCUGGCAGAGGGGGGGUAGAAUUCCACGUGUAGCAGUGAAAUGCGUAGAGAUGUGGAGGAACACCGAUGGGCGAAGGCAGCCCCCUGGGUUCAAGACUGACGCUCAUGCACGAAAGCGUGGGGGNGCCAAAACAGGAUUAGAUACCCUGGNAGUCCACCGCCCNUAAACGAUGUCUUACUAGUUUGUCGGGUCUUUAUNGGACUUGGNACCGCAGCUAACGCGNGAAGUAGACCGCCUUGGGGGAG